UAACUUUGAGCGGUGGAUCACUCGGCUCGUGCAUCGAU
Molecule: ribosomal RNA, 38 nt
Filed under: Caucasotachea vindobonensis
Lineage: Eukaryota; Metazoa; Mollusca; Gastropoda; Stylommatophora; Helicidae
Description: partial 5.8S ribosomal RNA
Source: RNAcentral